Molecule: ribosomal RNA, 501 nt
Filed under: uncultured bacterium
Lineage: Bacteria
Description: partial 16S ribosomal RNA
Rfam family: Bacterial small subunit ribosomal RNA
Source: RNAcentral
GGCGAACGCUAGCGGCGUGCCUAAUACAUGCAAGUCGAGCGGACCGGAUUGGGGCUUGCCUUGAUUCGGUCAGCGGCGGACGGGUGAGUAACACGUGGGCAACCUGCCCGCAAGACCGGGAUAACUCCGGGAAACCGGAGCUAAUACCGGAUAACACCGAAGACCGCAUGGUCUUCGGUUGAAAGGCGGCCUUUGGGCUGUCACUUGCGGAUGGGCCCGCGGCGCAUUAGCUAGUUGGUGAGGUAACGGCUCACCAAGGCGACGAUGCGUAGCCGGCCUGAGAGGGUGACCGGCCACACUGGGACUGAGACACGGCCCAGACUCCUACGGGAGGCAGCAGUAGGGAAUCUUCCGCAAUGGGCGAAAGCCUGACGGAGCGACGCCGCGUGAGCGAAGAAGGCCUUCGGGUCGUAAAGCUCUGUUGUGAGGGACGAAGGAGCGUCGUUCGAAGAGGGCGGCGCGGUGACGGUACCUCACGAGAAAGCCCCGGCUAACUACGUG